UUCACUUCUCAUGUACUCCUCCUCUUUUUUCUUUCUCACGCUUCUUUUUCAAACCCUCAUCUUCUUCCUCUCUCUCUUUCUUCCCCAGAAUUUCAUACUCUUGAAGAAACACUAUGUAGUUUAGGGUUAGAUCUGGCAAACUCAUUGAGUUUGGUGGACGAAAAAGAGUGACGGUGGUGAUGAUUUGGUUACAAACUUCUAUACGGCAGUGACAUUGGAUGAUCGGACAAGAUCAGAAUCAAUUGUAUACAUCUCCUUCGAUUGGUGGCUAGAGAUGCUUUGCAGAGAGAUGAUGUUAAACAUCUAGGGUUUGGGAGUAUAGAUGGAUUCAUCGCUGUGGUGGGACACACUCAUGUUCUUUAAGUUAAAGGUUAUCACAGUAUGUUUGUUCUCCUUUCAUUAAGGAUAAUUGGGUUCCAGCUUACUACGCGUUGGCGAUUUACAAUGUUGUGGUCUGCUGCUGCAAUGGUGGAUGCACAACUUUAUGUAAUCACUAGGACUAUAGCUCAGUGGUACUUCUCCAUAGACGAUCCGAGGGUCAAACAUCAUAUGACGUUCUCUAAGGUUUAUUUUCUUGCAGUUUAUAGGUUUUACACAAUCAUAUGUAGAAGGGAUGCUAUAAAGAUAAUAUCUUUGUUCAUUUAUUGUAUGCUUUUUUUAUAAACGUAUUUGGCCUGUUCUCAGGAACAAUACGUUUUUUAGGACUAUUGAUUGUUGUUGUACGAAUAGUGCGCAGGGCAGUUGUUACUGCAGCGAACGAAGGUGCAAGUGGGAUGAUCAACGUCGUUUUUAGAUGCUAUGUCAAUGCCCUAUUAUGGAGAUAAUUUCAACUUCAUUCAUGUUUGCCUUUGCAGUGGAUGCAGCGUGUGAGAAAAAUCCUUUUGAGGGUGCAGCUACUGCACCAAAAAAGACUGUUAAAGCAAUAGAUUCUGUAUCUUCUGUGUUUGGUGGUGCUUUGGAUAGCUUGUCACGAGAGGAUAUAAGCAGAAAGAUAACAUCGGCUCUUCUUAAAGGAUUGGAGAGUAAUGAUUGGAAGGCCCAUCUCAAUCUAUUGAAGCAGUAAGUAAAAUUGUGGAUGAGGCUAACAAGCGUAUUCAGCCUACUGGAACAGUGGAAUUGUUUGGGGCUCUUAGAGCUCAGUUAUAUGACAGCAACAAAAACUUAAUUACGGCUACACUGACUUCUAUAAGUGCUCUUGCAUCGGCAAUGGGACCUGUAGUAGCGAAGGCCAACAAUGUCAAUAGAUACGUCUAUCUCCAUUUAUAUAUAAAUAAGUUAGGUUAUUGUAAAUCCAAGAUUUAACAUUUAACAAUUAUACAUAUGAAUAUAAACACCCCAUGAAUAGUGAUCAACAUAUUUAAAAUAUUAUUUUUAUUUUUUAUCAAUCUUUUUAAGUAUUCUUUGUAAUUUCUUAAUAACAUGUCAUUUAUCACUUAAUUUAAUUUAUUUUUUAUAACUUGUGUUAACUUAAAAAAAAUUCUACCUCCAACUAUAUUUUGUAAAGCCUUGAUGAAUAGUGAUCAUAUUCUUUUAAGUAUUCUUUUUAAUUUUUGAUCUAAUUUUUUAAGUACUUUUUUAAUUUUUAAUAACAUGUUAUUUAUCAUUUAUUUUGAUUUUAAUAACUUACGAAGGUUAACUUUAAAAAAAAAAAUCUAACUCCGUAGCUAUAUUUUUUUCAAUAUUACCAUAUAAUUUUUAUUAGAAAGGGAUACUUGCCGCUAUCGUAGCAAAUUGAAUCGAAGAAUAGUAAUUAGAUUUUGGUUUUCAAAACAACACAAUUUUUUGUAUAGUAAAUUAUACGAGUGCCGGUAACAAAAUUAUAAAACAUAACUUUUUUAAUCGUAAAAUAUAUGAGUAUCAAUAACAUAACCGUUUUCGACCAAACGACAAUGGUACCGAUAUCGGUAGUAGCAGAACCGAUACUCUUUUUUAUCAUUUUUGAUUGAUGUAAAACACGUGUCGAUAUCCUUUUGGACAUAUCAUGACGUCAUAUUUGUAGUUUUUUCUUUCAGUUGUUAUAGCACCGAAACGAACAGAAUCGAUACCAACUAAGCUCCCGCCGCACAGCGCGGGGGAAAACCACUAGUAAUAAUAAUAUAUGCUUUUCUUGCAGAGAAUUUUGUCCGAUGUUAUCAAAUGCCUUGGUGACAAUAAAAAGAACACGAGAGAAUCUACCUAGAUAACUUUGGAUGCUUGGGUUGUUGUUACCCAUCUUAAUAAAAUGGUACCAUAUAUUACUGCUUCUUUGAUUGAUGCUAAACUUGGGGCAGAAGGACGUAAAGACCUUUUUGACUGGUUGUCGAGGUAACUUACAGGAUUGGCAGAGUUCACUGAUGCCAUUCAGUUACUGAGACCAGUUGUUGUUGCUAUGACGGAUAAACCAGCAGAUGUUCGUAAAGCCGCAAAAGCGUGCUUUGGGGAUAUUGUUAGAGUUUGUGGACCAGAAAUGGUCAUGAAGAAUGUAAGAGAUAUUCAAGGUCCCGCGCUGGCGAUUGUUCUUGAACGAUUGAAGACACACGGUGCAUUUCCAGAAGUGCAUGAGAACACAAGAACAGUCCCAGCUGGACAACCAUCGAAAACAGGUUCAAAGAUUGGCAAAUCAAAUGGUCAUGCAUCAAGGCAUGGAAGCAGAUCUGUAUCUUCGGCCAAAGUUAACUCCAGGCUCCAUUGAAUUAAGCACCCAAUGAUUCGGAACUCCUUUAACCCAGUCGAGCAUGACCAGUGACGAAUACGAGUCAGCAGUAUUGCAAGUGAAGCAACACAUUAUUGCAGGUGAUAUUUUCCAGAUUGUUAUAAGUCAGCGUUUUGAAUGUCGAACGCUCGCAGAUCCUUUCGAGAUUUAUCGCACGCUAAGAGUCGUGAAUCCAGUUCCGUACAUGACUUAUUUGCAGGCUCGGGGGUGUAUCUUGGUUGGUUCAAGCCCAGAAAUUCUGACUCGUGUGAAAUCUAAUACGGUUGUUAACCGACCUUUAGCUGGGACAGUAAGAAGGGGAAGGACUCCGGAUGAGGACGCACAGUUGGAGAAGAUGCUGUUAAGUGAUGAAAAGCAAUGUGCGGAACACAUCAUGCUUGUUGACUUAGGGAGGAAUGAUGUCGGAAAGAUGUAGGUCACGAAACCUGGUUCGGUUAAACAGUGUUUGUAACCACUGUUGGGUUAAACAGUGUUUCGAAACGACCGUUGGGUUAAAUAGUGGUUUCAAAACACUGUUGGUUUGAAACAGUGUUUUGUGGAGAAAACAGUGGUUCUUUGUUUCCAAACAGUAGUUUGACUUUGGUCAAACAGACUUUGAUCAAACAGCGUUUUAACUUUAGUCAAACAGUGUUUUAACUUUGGUCAAACAGACUUUUGAACCACUAAGAAUCAUAUUUUUGCAAACAGUUGUUUGACUUUGGUCAAAUAGUGGUUUGACUUUGGUCAAACAGUGGUCAAACAGUGUUACAAGAGUCCAGGCAAGAUGAAGUUGAGAUUUGUGCAUAAAAGCACGAGAGAAUCUACCUUGACAACUUUGGAUGCUUGGGUUGCUGUUACCCAUCUUGAUAAAAUGGUACCAUAUAUUACUGCUUCUUUGACUGAUGCUAAACUUGGGGCAGAAGGACGUAAGGACCUUUUUGACUGGUUGUCGAGGUAACUUACAGGAUUGGCAGAGUUCCCUGAUGCCAUUCAGUUACUGAGACCAGUUACUGUUGCUAUGAUGGAUAAAUCAGCAGAUGUUCGUAAAGCCGCAGAAGCGUGCUUUGGGGAUAUUGUUAGAGUUUGUGGACGAGAAAUGGUCAUGAAGAAUGUAAGAGAUAUUCAAGGUCCCGCGCUGGCGAUUGUUCUUGAACGAUUGAAGACACACGGUGCAUUUCCAGAAGUGAAUGAGAACAAAAGAACAGUCCCAGCUGGACAACCAUCGAAAACUGGUUCAAAGAUUGGCAAAUCAAAUGGUCAUGCAUCAAGGCAUGGAAGCAAAUCUGUAUCUUCGGCCAAAGUUAGCUCUGGGCUCCGUUGAAUUAAGCACCCAACAAUUCGGAACUCCUUCAAAAUUCGGAACUCCUUUAACCUAGUCGAGCAUGACCAGUGACGAAUAUAAGUCAGUAGUAUUGCAAGCGAAAGAACACAUUCUUGCAGGUGAUAUUUUCCAGAUUGUUUUAAGUCAGUGUUUUGAACGUCGAACGUUCGCAGAUCCUUUCGAGAUUUAUCGCGCGCUAAGAGUCGUGAAUCCAAGUCCAUACAUGACUUAUUUGCAGAAUACGGUUGUUAACCAACCUUUAGCCGGGACAGUAAGAAGGGGAAGGACUCCGGAUGAGGACACACAGUUGGAGAAGAUGCUGUUAGGUGAUGAAAAGCAAUGUGCAGAACACAUCAUGCUCGUUGAUGUUUCAUAUUUUUUUCUAUUACAACAACAAUCUAUCGAUAAUCUUGAACCGUUAUGGCUCCCUUUUGGUUCUUAAAGGUGACUGUGGAGUUGCUCGAUAAUCUGACUUGCUGGGACGCCCUUUCUGCUGCACUUCCAGUUGGAACUGUUAGUGGUGCUCCAAAGGUGAAAGCCAUGGAACUAAUAGAUAAACUGGAAGUUACAAGACGUGGGCCCUACAGUGGUGGGUUCGGAUGGUUUAAGCAUACCAUUAUACCCGACUUCUCCACUUAUGCAGUUUCAUUAUUACAAGACUGUGGUUUAAGCAUACCAUUGUUGUCUUCGUUAGCAUAUAGUUUAUUUUUAGUUUUUGUCAAACCUUUAUGCAUGAACAAAAUUAAUAAUAAUAUAAGUAACUUUCUUCAGCCCGGGAAGCAAUUCCGGGUAAUAA
This is a long non-coding RNA of Helianthus annuus (common sunflower), 4788 nucleotides long. RefSeq lists it as uncharacterized. The record is from RefSeq and is a predicted model, not a curated record. The transcript has 19 exons. NCBI's taxonomy places the organism in Eukaryota, Viridiplantae, Streptophyta, Magnoliopsida, Asterales, Asteraceae.